This 1343-nucleotide ribosomal RNA is filed under the name uncultured bacterium. Its description in RNAcentral is "16S ribosomal RNA". It matches the Rfam family "Bacterial small subunit ribosomal RNA", at positions 28 to 1378 of the family's 1533-position model. The record is from RNAcentral.
GACGAACGCUGGCGGCGUGCUUAACACAUGCAAGUCGAACGGAAAGGCCCUGCUUUUGUGGGGUGCUCGAGUGGCGAACGGGUGAGUAACACGUGAGUAACCUGCCCUUGACUUUGGGAUAACUUCAGGAAACUGGGGCUAAUAUCGGAUAGGAGCUCCUGCUGCAUGGUGGGGGUUGGAAAGUUUCGGCGGUUGGGGAUGGACUCGCGGCUUAUCAGCUUGUUGGUGGGGUAGUGGCUUACCCAGGCUUUGACGGGUAGCCGGCCUGAGAGGGUGACCGGCCACAUUGGGACUGAGAUACGGCCCAGACUCCUACGGGAGGCAGCAGUGGGGAAUAUUGCACAAUGGGCGGAAGCCUGAUGCAGCAACGCCGCGUGCGGGAUGACGGCCUUCGGGUUGUAAACCGCUUUCGCCUGUGACGAAGCGUGAGUGACGGUAAUGGGUAAAGAAGCACCGGCUAACUACGUGCCAGCAGCCGCGGUGAUACGUAGGGUGCGAGCGUUGUCCGGAUUUAUUGGGCGUAAAGGGCUCGUAGGUGGUUGAUCGCGUCGGAAGUGUAAUCUUGGGGCUUAACCCUGAGCGUGCUUUCGAUACGGGUUGACUUGAGGAAGGUAGGGGAGAAUGGAAUUCCUGGUGGAGCGGUGGAAUGCGCAGAUAUCAGGAGGAACACCAGUGGCGAAGGCGGUUCUCUGGGCCUUUCCUGACGCUGAGGAGCGAAAGCGUGGGGAGCGAACAGGCUUAGAUACCCUGGUAGUCCACGCUGUAAACGGUGGGUACUAGGUGUGGGGUCCAUUCCACGGGUUCCGUGCCGUAGCUAACGCUUUAAGUACCCCGCCUGGGGAGUACGGCCGCAAGGCUAAAACUCAAAGGAAUUGACGGGGCCCCGCACAAGCGGCGGAGCAUGCGGAUUAAUUCGAUGCAACGCGUAGAACCUUACCUGGGUUUGACAUGGAUCGGGAGUGCUCAGAGAUGGGUGUGCCUCUUUUGGGGUCGGUUCACAGGUGGUGCAUGCCUGUCGUCAGCUCGUGUCGUGAGAUGUUGGGUUAAGUCCCGCAACGAGCGCAACCCUUGUUCACUGUUGCCAGCACGUUAUGGUGGGGACUCAGUGGAGACCGCCGGGGUCAACUCGGAGGAAGGUGGGGAUGACGUCAAGUCAUCAUGCCCCUUAUGUCCAGGGCUUCACGCAUGCUACAAUGGCUGGUACAGAGAGUGGCGAGCCUGUGAGGGUGAGCGAAUCUCGGAAAGCCGGUCUCAGUUCGGAUUGGGGUCUGCAACUCGACCUCAUGAAGUCGGAGUCGCUAGUAAUCGCAGAUCAGCAACGCUGCGGUGAAUACGUUCCCGGG